Long non-coding RNA from Nicotiana attenuata, 458 nucleotides. RefSeq lists it as uncharacterized. Lineage: Eukaryota; Viridiplantae; Streptophyta; Magnoliopsida; Solanales; Solanaceae. The transcript is spliced from 2 exons. The record is from RefSeq and is a predicted model, not a curated record.
UUGAAGUUUGGUUUCCUAAUCUACUACUACUAGACAUUAAAACAAUUUUAAAAUAGCCUGAAGUUGAAGUGGUUCAGAUUGGUACAAGUAACCUUUGGAUAAAGAUAGUUUGCCAGAAGAAAAGAGGUGGAUUUACUAAACUGAUGGAGGCAAUGAAUGUUCUUGGAUUUGAUCUCAAUGACACCAGUGUCACUGCCUCAAAAGGAACACUUCUUGUUACUUCAUCUGUGGAGGUGGUUCGCGGUGGGCUAAUUGAAGCUCAUCAAAUCAGAGAGAUCUUGCUGGAGAUCAUCCGCGGAAUCUAGAAAAAUGAAAAUCCUAGCAGGAAUUUGUUAGCUAUGGAUGCCAAAAGGAUUCAAUUUUUAUAUUUCCCAAUUCCCAUCAUUGAAAAAUAACAAUCCCUUUAUAUCCAAAUUGUCUUAAAAGAGCUUGUUUGAACUCUUGUUUUCAGCAGCAUA